This 233-nucleotide long non-coding RNA is filed under the name Elaeis guineensis (African oil palm). Its description in RNAcentral is "long non-coding RNA (EGUI_LNC015471)". Lineage: Eukaryota; Viridiplantae; Streptophyta; Magnoliopsida; Arecales; Arecaceae. The record is from RNAcentral.
AUACCGGGCUAUCCUUUGCUGAUAUGUAGUCAUCCGAAUUUGAGCUUGCUGUCGGAGUUCUGGAAGGAGAUCCAAAUCAGCUCUCCGACAUUCAGAGUUGCUCAGUUCACAAUAUUGUUCGACUCUUGUUGAUGGCAAUCCGAUCUCGAGCGGUAUCAUUGCUUCUGCUCCAUAAGCUAAAUUGAAGGAGGAUUCUCUUAUCGGUAUGCGGAGAGUCAUCCGAUAUGCUCAUA